AACGAACGCUGGCGGCAUGCCUAACACAUGCAAGUCGAACGAGACCUUCGAGUCUAGUGGCGCACGGGUGCGUAACGCGUGGGAACCUGCCCUUAGGUUCGGAAUAACUCCCCGAAAGGGGUGCUAAUACCGGAUAAUGUCUUCGGACCAAAGAUUUAUCGCCUUUGGAUGGGCCCGCGUUGGAUUAGCUAGUUGGUAGGGUAAAAGCCUACCAAGGCGACAAUCCAUAGCUGGUCUGAGAGGAUGAUCAGCCACACUGGGACUGAGACACGGCCCAGACUCCUACGGGAGGCAGCAGUGGGGAAUAUUGGACAAUGGGCGAAAGCCUGAUCCAGCAAUGCCGCGUGAGUGAUGAAGGCCUUAGGGUUGUAAAGCUCUUUUACCCGGGAUGAUAAUGACAGUACCGGGAGAAUAAGCUCCGGCUAACUCCGUG
This 433-nucleotide ribosomal RNA is filed under the name uncultured bacterium. RNAcentral describes it as "partial 16S ribosomal RNA". It matches the Rfam family "Bacterial small subunit ribosomal RNA", at positions 29 to 507 of the family's 1533-position model. The record is from RNAcentral.